RNAcentral lists this ribosomal RNA (492 nucleotides) under uncultured bacterium. Its description in RNAcentral is "partial 16S ribosomal RNA". It matches the Rfam family "Bacterial small subunit ribosomal RNA", at positions 30 to 507 of the family's 1533-position model. The record is from RNAcentral.
AUUGAACGCUGGCGGCAUGCUUUACACAUGCAAGUCGAACGGUAACAGGCCUUCGGGUGCUGACGAGUGGCGCACGGGUGAGUAAUGCAUCGGAACGUGCCCAGAGGUGGGGGAUAACGCAGCGAAAGCUGUGCUAAUACCGCAUGUGAUCUGAGGAUGAAAGCGGGGGACCAGGCAGCAAUGUUUGGCCUCGCGCCUUUGGAGCGGCCGAUGUCAGAUUAGGUAGUUGGUGGGGUAAAGGCCUACCAAGCCGACGAUCUGUAGCUGGUCUGAGAGGACGACCCGCCACACUGGGACUGAGACACGGCCCAGACUCCUACGGGAGGCAGCAGUGGGGAAUUUUGGACAAUGGGCGCAAGCCUGAUCCAGCAAUGCCGCGUGCGGGAAGAAGGCCUUCGGGUUGUAAACCGCUUUUGUACGGAACGAAAAGGCUCUGGCUAAUACCUGGGGCUGAUGACGGUACCGUAAGAAUAAGCACCGGCUAACUACGUG